GGUGAGGUGUCCGAGUGGCUGAAGGAGCACGCCUGGAAAAGUGUGUAUACGGCAACGUAUCGGGGGNUUCGAANUCCCCCCNUCACCGCCA
RNAcentral lists this transfer RNA (91 nucleotides) under Klebsiella pneumoniae. RNAcentral's name for it is "tRNA-Ser". Lineage: Bacteria; Pseudomonadati; Pseudomonadota; Gammaproteobacteria; Enterobacterales; Enterobacteriaceae. The record is from RNAcentral.